GCUGAAACUCGCCUACAUGAAGCUGGAGUUACUAGUAAUCGCAGAUCAGAAUGCUGCGGUGAAUGCGUUCCCGGGUCUUGUACACACCGCCCGUCACACCACGGGAGUUGGAGACGCCCGAAGCCGAUUAUCUAACCGUUUGGAAGAAGUCGUCGAAGGUGGAAUCAAUAACUGGGGUGAAGUCGUAACAAGGUAGCCGUAUCGGAAGGUGCGGCUGGAUCACCUCCUUUCUAAGGAGA
This 239-nucleotide ribosomal RNA is filed under the name Clostridioides difficile. RNAcentral's name for it is "partial 16S ribosomal RNA". It matches the Rfam family "Bacterial small subunit ribosomal RNA", at positions 1304 to 1533 of the family's 1533-position model. Lineage: Bacteria; Bacillati; Bacillota; Clostridia; Peptostreptococcales; Peptostreptococcaceae. The record is from RNAcentral.